CCUACGGGCGGCUGUAGUGGGGAAUAUUGGACAAUGGGCGAAAGCCUGAUCCAGCCAUGCCGCGUGUGUGAAGAAGGCCUUCGGGUUGUAAAGCACUUUCAGUGGGGAAGAAAGCCUUGGGGCUAAUACCCUCGAGGAAGGACAUCACCCACAGAAGAAGCACCGGCUAACUCCGUGCCAGCAGCCGCGGUAAUACGGAGGGUGCGAGCGUUAAUCGGAAUUACUGGGCGUAAAGCGCGCGUAGGCGGUCUGAUAAGCCGGUUGUGAAAGCCCCGGGCUCAACCUGGGAACGGCAUCCGGAACUGUCAGGCUAGAGUGCAGGAGAGGAAGGUAGAAUUCCCGGUGUAGCGGUGAAAUGCGUAGAGAUCGGGAGGAAUACCAGUGGCGAAGGCGGCCUUCUGGACUGACACUGACGCUGAGGUGCGAAAGCGUGGGUAGCAAACAGGAUUAGAUACCCUAGUAGUC
Molecule: ribosomal RNA, 465 nt
Filed under: Vreelandella stevensii
Lineage: Bacteria; Pseudomonadati; Pseudomonadota; Gammaproteobacteria; Oceanospirillales; Halomonadaceae
Description: partial 16S ribosomal RNA
Rfam family: Bacterial small subunit ribosomal RNA
Source: RNAcentral